This 359-nucleotide transfer-messenger RNA is filed under the name Patescibacteria group. RNAcentral describes it as "GWB1-45-5 sp001816645 X2 Standard tmRNA". It matches the Rfam family "transfer-messenger RNA". From Rfam's summary of the family: Bacterial tmRNA, also known as 10Sa RNA or SsrA, is named for its dual tRNA and mRNA-like properties. Its role is to liberate the mRNA from a stalled ribosome. RNAcentral also lists the same sequence under 1 other name. The record is from RNAcentral.
GGGGAUGUAUAUAUUCGACGGGAAGUAGCAACUUAGAGUGCAAGCCGGUGUUGAUCGAGUCACCGAAAAGAGCGAUCAAAGCAAUAAAAGCCAACAAAGAUUUGGCCGUCCGUUACGCAUACGCUUAACCGGACCAUCUUGUUAUCUCUCUCUUGAUGGGGCUAACAAGGUGUCAUAGCAGUCAAGAUGAUCUAAGUAGGACCGGUCGGCCUACUCAAGAUCAAAAACUAAUCGACCUCUACCUUUAGGCCUAUCCGCUAGUCGUAAAGCUUGAAGGGAAACCAUUCGGCUAGCUAAGCUUGUAGAUCGCUAAGAAGCUUUCUUUUCGGACCCCGGUGAAAAGCCGGGCAUCUCCACCA